RNAcentral lists this unclassified non-coding RNA (197 nucleotides) under plant metagenome. RNAcentral describes it as "partial contains small subunit ribosomal RNA, internal transcribed spacer 1, and 5.8S ribosomal RNA". The record is from RNAcentral.
UCUCCGUUGGUGAACCAGCGGAGGGAUCAUUACCGAGUGCAAACUCAUAACCCUUUGUGAACCUAUAUCUGUUGCUUCGGCGGCUCGCUCUCGGGCGAACCCGCCGGUAAUAUCAGUAUCUCUGUUUGAACCCGACGAUACUUCUGAGUGUUCUUAGCGAACAUUUAAAACUUUUAACAACGGAUCUCUUGGCUCUA